This is a small nucleolar RNA of Acomys russatus (golden spiny mouse), 101 nucleotides long. RefSeq annotates it as small nucleolar RNA SNORA26. The record is from RefSeq and is a predicted model, not a curated record. Lineage: Eukaryota; Metazoa; Chordata; Mammalia; Rodentia; Muridae. The transcript has a single exon.
GCACAGUUUUAUUGGGGAUAGAAGAAGGGUGAAAAACUCUCCAGAAAACCCAGAGAGGAGACAUUACACCUCCUGUUUGGAUACUGUCUGAAGUCACAGAU